GUCCAACAGAGAGGUUCUGCAGGCAGUGGAACUUCAUGCCGAGAGUGAAUUGAAGGAGUGGGUGACAGCGGUGGUAAAACUGGAAGUGAAUGAAGAUGGGGGAGCCGAUGUACAUUUCGAGGCGUUUCAGAUGAGUGAUACAUGCAUUAAACUUCUCAAGGAAAAGUGGUUCGAGACAGAGAUUGGGGAGGGUAUGGAUCCUAAGUUGUCUAAAAUGAAGAAGGAUGUUGUUGUUGGAGGAAAG
This 244-nucleotide unclassified non-coding RNA is filed under the name Hevea brasiliensis (rubber tree). Lineage: Eukaryota; Viridiplantae; Streptophyta; Magnoliopsida; Malpighiales; Euphorbiaceae. The record is from RNAcentral.